GACAGAGGCCUCGAGCGUUAGGCGGAAUCAUUGGGCGUAAAGCGCGCGUAGGCGGCCCUGUAAGUCCGUUGUGAAAGUCAAAGGCUCAACCUUUGAAAGCCGAUGGAUACUGCAGGGCUAGAGUCCGGAAGAGGCGAGUGGAAUUCCUGGUGUAGCGGUGGAAUGCGCAGAUAUCAGGAGGAACACCAAUAGCGAAGGCAGCUCGCUGGGACGGUACUGACGCUAAGGCGCGAAAGCGUGGGGAGCGAACAGG
This 253-nucleotide ribosomal RNA is filed under the name uncultured bacterium. Its description in RNAcentral is "partial 16S ribosomal RNA". It matches the Rfam family "Bacterial small subunit ribosomal RNA", at positions 524 to 776 of the family's 1533-position model. The record is from RNAcentral.